GAUGAACGCUGGCGGCGUGCUUAACACAUGCAAGUCGAACGGAAAGGCUCCUGCUUGCAGGGGUACUCGAGUGGCGAACGGGUGAGUAACACGUGGGUGAUCUGCCCUGCACUUCGGGAUAAGCCUGGGAAACUGGGGCUAAUACCGGAUAGGACGAUGGGUUGGAUGCCAUUGUGGAAAGAUUUUCCGGUGUGGGAUGAGCUCGCGGCCUAUCAGCUUGUUGGUGGGGUAUUGGCCUACCAAGGCGUCGACGGGUAGCCGGCCUGAGAGGGUGUACGGCCACAUUGGGACUGAGAUACGGCCCAGACUCCUACGGGAGGCAGCAGUGGGGAAUAUUGCACAAUGGGCGCAAGCCUGAUGCAGCGACGCCGCGUGGGGGAUGACGGCCUUCGGGUUGUAAACUCCUUUCGCUAGGGACGAAGCGCGAGUGACGGUACCUGGAGAAGAAGCACCGGCUAACUACGUG
RNAcentral lists this ribosomal RNA (466 nucleotides) under uncultured bacterium. RNAcentral describes it as "partial 16S ribosomal RNA". It matches the Rfam family "Bacterial small subunit ribosomal RNA", at positions 28 to 507 of the family's 1533-position model. The record is from RNAcentral.